UCUUCCACUGAGCCACAGACAUGUCAUCCUUACCCUGCAGAGGACAAACACCCAGAGGUGGAAACAGCUGGCAGCGCCUUUUAACAUCAGAAAAAGCAGCGUUGGAGCGAAGAGUUAAGAUGUUUCAUUAAGACUGAGGCUGGAAAACGCAUCACACUCCUGAUUUCGCUGCAGCCGGACCAGGAAACCGGACCAGGAAACCGGACCAGGAAACCGGACCAGUGAUUUUAUUUUCAGCAGUGAAAGGAAAUAAAUGAGGUCCAGCAGUUUUCA
Xiphophorus hellerii (green swordtail) is the source of this 273-nucleotide long non-coding RNA. RefSeq lists it as uncharacterized. NCBI's taxonomy places the organism in Eukaryota, Metazoa, Chordata, Actinopteri, Cyprinodontiformes, Poeciliidae. The transcript has 3 exons. The record is from RefSeq and is a predicted model, not a curated record.